Molecule: long non-coding RNA, 1152 nt
Organism: Cephus cinctus (wheat stem sawfly)
Lineage: Eukaryota; Metazoa; Arthropoda; Insecta; Hymenoptera; Cephidae
Exons: 3
Source: RefSeq, a predicted model, not a curated record
AUUAUUACCACGACAAGGAGAAUUUUCCUGAAAUGAUUUAACGAUGGCUUCAAGCAUAACGAAACAGAUUUCUAAUAAAAAUUAAAGGAGCAUUCGCGUACUAUACAGCAUGUAUACUCCUAUCUAAUCAGACUCAGAUUUUCCGUGGGCGACGCUGAAAAAUCUAUAUCAAGUUUACAAGCUAGUCCAAUAAAGCCGUUCGAGCGAGUUCAUUAUUCACGGCUGUUCGAAGGUUUAUUUUCUUGGAACACUAUUGCUCUAGACUUGAGAUCAGCUUAUGAGGAAUUUCGGAAAGAGUCACGGGAAAAAACGCCGUUGGAUUUUUUUUUGUCAAAUUGGACAUGCUUAUAGAUAUCUUGGAAAAAGGUAAUAUCUACGUAUGCACUGAGCUUUACGUCACGAGUGACUAUAUUUGCUGAAGAGACGUGCGAAAUCUUUUAAACAGAUAUAACAACUGUGAGUUUAAUUAUGUGGCUCCUCUCUUGGAAGCAAGAAGAACCGUCAGAGGAGCAGGUGAGGAAAAGAACUCGUGACUUCAUCCGUUUGCAGCAGUAUCGUCUUCUACAUUACUUAAAGAGUGCUUGAGUAAGAUUGUCGCUCUUAUGGAAAUCCAAAGAGUUUUAUCUUACGCAAGAAGCCUAGACUCAUUAUCGCAUAGAGUAAAUAUAAGAAAAGUUUGCCAUAUGACUUUGAGACGUGAAAUUAUAUAAAUUCAAAGACUGAAAGACAUUAUCUGAGAAACCCGGUAAACUCGUGCGUCUCUUUUGAAAAGAUUAGUAUUUAUUUAAUUAACGUACAGUAAUCUUUCAGUUACUUUUUAAAAUAUAUUUUAAAGUAGGCAAACUGGGGAAUAAACAUUAAUUUUUGUAUUCAUUUAUAUACGAUUGUCGAUUAAUCAAAUUAAUCAAUUAACUUGGUAUUUAAUCAGGGGAUCCAUACGUGCGAAACAAUCGUGGACUGAAAUAGAUGAAUGUCUGAGAAACGUCAUUUCGAAUUAAGUGAUUAAUAAUUGUAAAUUAUGUAGACUGUUUACGUGAUAAGACAUUUGCGCAAAGAGUAAAGAACAAAGAAUUGGAUAAAUUGUCUGCUGUUUUCGACACGCACCCGUAGUAAACGGGCAUAUAAAUGAAGAUUUCUUUUACUUUUCUAUUU